RNAcentral lists this ribosomal RNA (254 nucleotides) under uncultured bacterium. RNAcentral's name for it is "partial 16S ribosomal RNA". It matches the Rfam family "Bacterial small subunit ribosomal RNA", at positions 524 to 776 of the family's 1533-position model. The record is from RNAcentral.
UACGAAGGGUGCAAGCGUUAAUCGGAAUUACUGGGCGUAAAGGGUGCGUAGGCGGUUUGGUCAGUCGGAUGUGAAAGCCCUGGGCUCAACCUGGGAACGGCAUCGGAUACGGCUAAGCUUAGAGUCUAGGAGAGGGUGGUGGAAUUCCCGGUGUAGCGGUGAAAUGCGUAGAGAUCGGGAGGAACAUUCGUGGCGAAGGCGGCCACCUGGCCUAAGACUGACGCUGAGGCACGAAAGCGUGGGGAGCAAACAGG